GACGAACGCUGGCGGCGUGCUUAACACAUGCAAGUCGAACGGAAAGGCCCGGCUUUGGUGGGGUGCUCGAGUGGCGAACGGGUGAGUAACACGUGAGUAACCUGCCAUUGACGUUGGGAUAACUUAAGGAAACUGGGGCUAAUACCGGGUAGGAGCUCCUGCUGCAUGGUGGGGGUGGGAAAGUUUCGGCGGUUGGGGAUGGACCGGCGGCAUAUCAGCUUGGUGGUGGGGUAGUGGCGUACCAAGGCUUUGACACGUAGGCGGUCUGAGAGGGGGGCCGGCCACGUUGGGUCUGGACUGCGACACAGACUACUACAGGAGGCAGCAGUGGAGAAUGUUGCCCAAUGGGCGGAAGCCAGAUGCAACAACGCCGCGUGCGGGAUAACGGCCUUCUGGUUGUAAACCGCUUUCGCUUGUGACGAAGCGUGAGUGACGGUAAUGGGUAAAGAAGCACCGGCUAACUACGUG
This 468-nucleotide ribosomal RNA is filed under the name uncultured bacterium. Its description in RNAcentral is "partial 16S ribosomal RNA". It matches the Rfam family "Bacterial small subunit ribosomal RNA", at positions 28 to 507 of the family's 1533-position model. The record is from RNAcentral.